GAAUGCUGACAUAAGUAACGAUAAAGCGGGUGAAAAGCCCGCUCGCCGGAAGACCAAGGGUUCCUGUCCAACGUUAAUCGGGGCAGGGUGAGUCGACCCCUAAGGCGAGGCCGAAAGGCGUAGUCGAUGGGAAACAGGUUAAUAUUCCUGUACUUGGUGUUACUGCGAAGGGGGGACGGAGAAGGCUAUGUUGGCCGGGCGACGGUUGUCCCGGUUUAAGCGUGUAGGCUGGUUUUCCAGGCAAAUCCGGAAAAUCAAGGCUGAGGCGUGAUGACGAGGCACUACGGUGCUGAAGCAACAAAUGCCCUGCUUCCAGGAAAAGCCUCUAAGCAUCAGGUAACAUCAAAUCGUACCCCAAACCGACACAGGUGGUCAGGUAGAGAAUACCAAGGCGCUUGAGAGAACUCGGGUGAAGGAACUAGGCAAAAUGGUGCCGUAACUUCGGGAGAAGGCACGCUGAUAUGUAGGUGAAGCGACUUGCUCGUGGAGCUGAAAUCAGUCGAAGAUACCAGCUGGCUGCAACUGUUUAUUAAAAACACAGCACUGUGCAAACACGAAAGUGGACGUAUACGGUGUGACGCCUGCCCGGUGCCGGAAGGUUAAUUGAUGGGGUUAGCGGUAACGCGAAGCUCUUGAUCGAAGCCCCGGUAAACGGCGGCCGUAACUAUAACGGUCCUAAGGUAGCGAAAUUCCUUGUCGGGUAAGUUCCGACCUGCACGAAUGGCGUAAUGAUGGCCAGGCUGUCUCCACCCGAGACUCAGUGAAAUUGAACUCGCUGUGAAGAUGCAGUGUACCCGCGGCAAGACGGAAAGACCCCGUGAACCUUUACUAUAGCUUGACACUGAACAUUGAGCCUUGAUGUGUAGGAUAGGUGGGAGGCUUUGAAGUGUGGACGCCAGUCUGCAUGGAGCCGACCUUGAAAUACCACCCUUUAAUGUUUGAUGUUCUAACGUUGGCCCCUGAUCGGGGUUGCGGACAGUGUCUGGUGGGUAGUUUGACUGGGGCGGUCUCCUCCUAAAGAGUAACGGAGGAGCACGAAGGUUGGCUAAUCCUGGUCGGACAUCAGGAGGUUAGUGCAAUGGCAUAAGCCAGCUUGACUGCGAGCGUGACGGCGCGAGCAGGUGCGAAAGCAGGUCAUAGUGAUCCGGUGGUUCUGAAUGGAAGGGCCAUCGCUCAACGGAUAAAAGGUACUCCGGGGAUAACAGGCUGAUACCGCCCAAGAGUUCAUAUCGACGGCGGUGUUUGGCACCUCGAUGUCGGCUCAUCACAUCCUGGGGCUGAAGUAGGUCCCAAGGGUAUGGCUGUUCGCCAUUUAAAGUGGUACGCGAGCUGGGUUUAGAACGUCGUGAGACAGUUCGGUCCCUAUCUGCCGUGGGCGCUGGAGAACUGAGGGGGGCUGCUCCUAGUACGAGAGGACCGGAGUGGACGCAUCACUGGUGUUCGGGUUGUCAUGCCAAUGGCACUGCCCGGUAGCUAAAUGCGGAAGAGAUAAGUGCUGAAAGCAUCUAAGCACGAAACUUGCCCCGAGAUGAGUUCUCCCUGACUCCUUGAGAGUCCUGAAGGAACGUUGAAGACGACGACGUUGAUAGGCCGGGUGUGUAAGCGCAGCGAUGCGUUGAGCUAACCGGUACUAAUGAACCGUGAG
Molecule: ribosomal RNA, 1645 nt
Filed under: Escherichia coli
Lineage: Bacteria; Pseudomonadati; Pseudomonadota; Gammaproteobacteria; Enterobacterales; Enterobacteriaceae
Description: partial 23S ribosomal RNA
Rfam family: Bacterial large subunit ribosomal RNA
Source: RNAcentral